UACGGCUUUACCAUGUUGAAAUGCCAAUUCUUAUACAAUCACCGAAGUUAAGCAAUGUCAAGCCCAGUCAGUACCUAAAUGGGUGGCUACUUGGGAAUACCAGGUGCUGUCA
Non-coding RNA from Acanthosepion pharaonis, 112 nucleotides. The record is from the annotation of a GenBank genome assembly. NCBI's taxonomy places the organism in Eukaryota, Metazoa, Mollusca, Cephalopoda, Sepiida, Sepiidae.